AUGGAGAUGUGCCAGAGGAAGAAGAAGCAGCUCGCCCCAUUGCUGAUCCUGGCCAUGCUCAUCAUCGCCUCCUUUGGGGUGGCGGUGGAGGGGAAGCCGGUGCACGACAUGUACACGCCGUGGUGCAUCGGGAAGUGCUACAAGACGGGCAACUGCAUGCGCUGCUGCAAGCACUUCGGCCACAUCCACGGCCGCUGCAGCCUCAUACACGGCAUGGGAUGCUACUGCUGGUACGACCCCGCCGCCCUCCGCCGCCGCUACCACAAGCAGCAGACAGUGACCGCGCCGCCACCAUCCGACCACCGUCUUCACGCAUGA
This 318-nucleotide ribosomal RNA is filed under the name Triticum aestivum (bread wheat). Its description in RNAcentral is "partial small subunit ribosomal RNA". The record is from RNAcentral. Lineage: Eukaryota; Viridiplantae; Streptophyta; Magnoliopsida; Poales; Poaceae.